UAUCACCCUCCAGUUCUACAUCUACACUUUGUAUUGAGUCAUAAACGCAGUAUCUAAAGUUAAAAUAACUCGUUCGUUAGAAAAGACAGACAAAUUUAACUUUUCAUGAUAUAAACGAGCUUGAGAUUGACCUAUUAACUAAAAAAAUACGCUCAAGUAGCAAGGCAGUAGAUACAAACUAUAGAAUAUUCGGAUUAUAGUGAUGCAAGAUACAAAAUAGGAAGAUUGACAGAAAUUAAACAUCUAUCUACUAUUAUUAGAGAAACAACAAAUUCUAUCUUAUAACCAAGAAUCAAAAUCAAACUAAUAGAGAGCUAAACUAUCACAGGACCAACUGGAAAGAAAUACGUUAGCACAAAACUAUCAACAACGGGAAAAGUUGCUUCAAAACAACACGUUCAUAACAUGGAAAUAUAUAAAAAUGAGUAGAAGAAUGAACCUGAGAUUUCUUUCAGUUAAUAAAAUUUCAGCAGAUACACAGAUGGAACCAAACCGCAACCACGAUUGGAACUCAAAUCGGACAGGACUCUCGAGCAUGGACCUUGACACAACCUCGGAUCGGCACAACCAAUUUCGAACCCACACACAAACUCAAAUCACCUCCAUAUUGAAAUACCAAAAUCGAAAUUAAAGGAAAGCAGAACUCACGUGUGUGCGUGUGUUAUCACUGGUCGAACUUCCGGCGAGAUCGGGGAAUUUCCAAUGCAAGGUGGACGGAGAUAAUUGGUAUUGGAAUGAAAAAAUUGAUGGACUUCAAUGGGUGUUGUCGUUUGGUUCCAGUGGCUGAUCAUAGCUCUUGUUCUUGCUCUAAGUGUUUUUUUCGUUUUCGGAGAAGAUUGAUCUGAUCGAUCAAUUUUGUUACUUAGGGAUUCUUGCUUUCAUUUAUUCGACGCUUUCUAUUCUCUUUCCCAGUGCAUUUUUUUUUCUUUUUUUCCCAUUGGUAGAGAAUGGUUUUAUAGAGUAUGUGAAAUGAGGUGUUACGUGGGAGAGUUUUAUUUGGGGAGAAGGUGCUAUGUGGGGUAAUAUUU
This 1028-nucleotide long non-coding RNA is filed under the name Nicotiana benthamiana. RNAcentral describes it as "long non-coding RNA (NBEN_LNC026183)". Lineage: Eukaryota; Viridiplantae; Streptophyta; Magnoliopsida; Solanales; Solanaceae. The record is from RNAcentral.